CUGUGCUGUGGUGGUUAAACAAGGUUAGUUCAGUUUGGUUUAGUUUAUGUUAAUAAAAACCAGGUAACACCUAAAUAAAUACAAAUUGUUCCAAUAGCAUCAUCAUUGGGUUGGGUUAGUGUUGUACAGUUUUCUAUCAAAACUGAUUGUCAAAAGCGCCAAAUUAUACCUAGUCGUGUCUUUUCAUGAGUAACUUAGCUUAUAGAAAAAAGCUAAACGUUUUGUUAAUGAUACCUUGUUUGUUUAUAAACUAUAGGCCUACCACUUUCAAAAGAACCUGCGCAGAACCAUGGCUGUCUCGCGCAUGUAGGGGUGAAGGGUGAUGGUGGGGAAGGGCCUGGAGCAGUGGUGGGGAUAAGUCGUUGGGGCGAGGUGUCUUUCCCCACCACUCUGACUCUCCUGCUGUCCUGCAUGCACGACUCAUACAGAGUCAUUGAUUGAGGUGCUGGUGAACUGAUUGAAGACUUAAAAAUGUUUUGUUAUUAGUGUGAGGUGUGAUAGUACGGACUGUUGUGAUAAAUUACCACUGUUUAUGAUUUACUUUAUAUGUUUUAAAAUAAAUGUUCUACAUAAACUAUUAAAA
This is a long non-coding RNA of Macrosteles quadrilineatus (aster leafhopper), 583 nucleotides long. RefSeq lists it as uncharacterized. The transcript is spliced from 2 exons. Lineage: Eukaryota; Metazoa; Arthropoda; Insecta; Hemiptera; Cicadellidae. The record is from RefSeq and is a predicted model, not a curated record.